Molecule: ribosomal RNA, 253 nt
Filed under: uncultured prokaryote
Description: partial 16S ribosomal RNA
Rfam family: Bacterial small subunit ribosomal RNA
Source: RNAcentral
UACGUAGGGUGCGAGCGUUGUCCGGAAUUAUUGGGCGUAAAGAGCUCGUAGGCGGUCUGUCACGUCGGCUGUGAAAUCCCGAGGCUCAACCUCGGGUCUGCAGUCGAUACGGGCAAACUAGAGUAUUGCAGGGGAGACUGGAAUUCCUGGUGUAGCGGUGAAAUGCGCAGAUAUCAGGAGGAACACCGGUGGCGAAGGCGGGUCUCUGGGCAGUAACUGACGCUGAGGAGCGAAAGCGUGGGGAGCGAACAGG